RNAcentral lists this ribosomal RNA (253 nucleotides) under uncultured bacterium. RNAcentral's name for it is "partial 16S ribosomal RNA". It matches the Rfam family "Bacterial small subunit ribosomal RNA", at positions 524 to 776 of the family's 1533-position model. The record is from RNAcentral.
UACGGGGGGGGCAAGCGUUGUUCGGAAUUCCUGGGCGUAAAGGGCUCGUAGGCGGCCAACUCAGUCAGACGUGAAAUCCCUCGGCUUAACCGGGGAACUGCGUCUGAUACUGGAUGGCUUGAGAUUGGGAGAGGGAUGCGGAAUUCCAGGUGUAGCGGUGAAAUGCGUAGAGAUCGGGAGGAACACCAGUGGCGAAGGCGGCUACCUGGACCAGCACGGACACUGAGGCACGAAAGCUAGGGGAGCAAACAGG